UACGGCCGCAUCACGUUGAAACAUUGGUUCCCGUACGAUCACUGAAGUUAAGCAACGCUGAGGCUGGUCAGUACUUAGUUGACCGCUUGUGAAUACCUGGUGCUGUAA
Acanthosepion pharaonis is the source of this 108-nucleotide non-coding RNA. Lineage: Eukaryota; Metazoa; Mollusca; Cephalopoda; Sepiida; Sepiidae. The record is from the annotation of a GenBank genome assembly.